RNAcentral lists this ribosomal RNA (598 nucleotides) under Photobacterium rosenbergii. Its description in RNAcentral is "bacterial SSU rRNA". It matches the Rfam family "Bacterial small subunit ribosomal RNA", at positions 1 to 577 of the family's 1533-position model. Lineage: Bacteria; Pseudomonadati; Pseudomonadota; Gammaproteobacteria; Vibrionales; Vibrionaceae. The record is from RNAcentral.
UUAAUUGAAGAGUUUGAUCAUGGCUCAGAUUGAACGCUGGCGGCAGGCCUAACACAUGCAAGUCGAGCGGCAGCGACAUAAACAAUCCUUCGGGUGCGCUUAUGGGCGGCGAGCGGCGGACGGGUGAGUAAUGCCUGGGAAUAUGCCCUGAUGUGGGGGAUAACCAUUGGAAACGAUGGCUAAUACCGCAUAAUCUCUUCGGAGCAAAGAGGGGGACCUUCGGGCCUCUCGCGUCAGGAUUAGCCCAGGUGAGAUUAGCUAGUUGGUGAGGUAAGAGCUCACCAAGGCGACGAUCUCUAGCUGGUCUGAGAGGAUGAUCAGCCACACUGGAACUGAGACACGGUCCAGACUCCUACGGGAGGCAGCAGUGGGGAAUAUUGCACAAUGGGGGAAACCCUGAUGCAGCCAUGCCGCGUGUGUGAAGAAGGCCUUCGGGUUGUAAAGCACUUUCAGUUGUGAGGAAGGCAUAUGCGUUAAUAGCGUAUGUGUUUGACGUUAGCAACAGAAGAAGCACCGGCUAACUCCGUGCCAGCAGCCGCGGUAAUACGGAGGGUGCGAGCGUUAAUCGGAAUUACUGGGCGUAAAGCGCAUGCAGGCG